Long non-coding RNA from Heterocephalus glaber (naked mole-rat), 1258 nucleotides. RefSeq lists it as uncharacterized. NCBI's taxonomy places the organism in Eukaryota, Metazoa, Chordata, Mammalia, Rodentia, Bathyergidae. The record is from RefSeq and is a predicted model, not a curated record.
UACGUAUAUAGGAAAAAGGCGGUGUGGCUUCCACUGUAGGCUUCAAAAUAAUCCAGUGAAUACUAUCCACAAUAUUCAUUAUUUUCUAAAGGAGUGUCAUACGUGUAGAAUGAAGUCUAAACUAAGCAUUUCCUUUCAAGCAUUUUGUCUUUAAAGUUCACCCGAGGAGGGAAAAGACCCUUAUACUUAACAAGUUGCUGAAGAUCUUUCCCAGCACCUUUGAUAGGUGUUUUCAAAGAUUUCUUUUAAGUCGGAUUUCUCCAGGGACCACUAUCUUAUACUCUCCAAAUUCCUGGGCUAAAGAGCAUGCUCUGGUGCACAAACGCAAGCAGCCCACCGACAGACACAUCCUCUCAGUAUUAAGCUGUGUGCAGAGCAGCCGCCGCCGAGAUGUCCCAAUUGGAGAAGGAGUCCAAAAUGUGGAAGAAAACUUGUUUUGCCUGAACUGUGCACUUUCGACUUUAUGCAUCUUGAAGUACAAGGAUUUCCUGGCAUGGCUACAGGAGCAGCUGCCGGAGAAAGAAAAGAGGCAGAGGUACAGUGCCCUUGGCCUCCCUUAUUCUACCGGAGCAGCUGCAUUUUUAUCUGCUUUAUCAAUUGAACUCCAUGUACAAUUACACUGAAAUAAAAGCACUCUGCUGCUUUAAAAAAUGGUUGCAAACCAUUGGUUUGAUCAUGUCCUCCACUGUAAUAUCCAUUUUUCUAGACUGAAAAAUUGUGUUUAUCUUGAGCAUAGUCUUAACAUUUCUUUUUUAAAUUUUGGAUUCUUUAUGUAUCAGCAAAGAAUGGGAUUCUCUUUGCCACGGUUUUAUCCUUUUUCCAAAACAUGUACCAUUUUGUUUUGAUUGCUUUAAUCUUUUUGUUCUCUUCUCCUUAUGUUCAGCAUCAAAAUUGCUGUUUUACUCCUAGCCUAGGGACAGACAUGUUUGAUACCAUUUCAAAUAAAUAAUCUAACUGGAUAUUGGAGAGGAAAACAAUGUGAUCUCUCAGGUCUAGGAAUGGUUAUGUUACAUUAAUUUAUGCAAAGCCUUCUGUAUCACACUCCCUGUAGGAUUUCCUUUGGAAGCCUGACCACUACCUUUCAGGAGAGUGGAAUUUCAUGGCACAUAGGGUAAGGAUCAGUAUAACCCAAAGGGCUCUUUCAAUCACUUGCACUUCCCAUCUCUUUUUUUUCGGUGUGUUCUGUAUGAUGAGUAGAGAGACACAGCCUGUUUCCUGAGAGCCAGAGCUGCUUUCUGUUUAUGUGUGGACUUGGUGA